CCUACGGGUGGCAGCAGUGAGGAAUAUUGGUCAAUGGCCGAGAGGCUGAACCAGCCAAGUCGCGUGAGGGAAGACGGCCCUACGGGUUGUAAACCUCUUUUGUCGGGGAGCAAAGCGAACCACGUGUGGUUCAUUGAGAGUACCCGAAGUAAAAGCAUAGGCUAACUCUGUGCCAGCAGCCGCGGUAAUACGGAGGAUGCGAGCGUUAUCCGGAUCUAUUGGGUUUAAAGGGUGCGCAGGCGGAGGUGCAAGUCAGCGGUCAAAUUGCGGGGCUCAACCCCGUACUGCCGUUGAUACUGCAUCCCUUGAGUGCGCGAGAGGUAAGCGGAAUGCGUGGUGUAGCGGUGAAAUGCAUAGAUAUCAGGCAGAACUCCGAUGGCGAAGGCAGCUUACCGGCGCGCAACUGACGCUCAUGCACGAAAGCGUGGGUAUCAAACAGGAUUAGAUACCCUGGUAGUC
This 459-nucleotide ribosomal RNA is filed under the name uncultured bacterium. Its description in RNAcentral is "partial 16S ribosomal RNA". It matches the Rfam family "Bacterial small subunit ribosomal RNA", at positions 338 to 795 of the family's 1533-position model. The record is from RNAcentral.